This 164-nucleotide RNase P RNA is filed under the name Faecalibacterium sp. Its description in RNAcentral is "partial RNase P RNA component class A". It matches the Rfam family "Bacterial RNase P class A", at positions 1 to 172 of the family's 367-position model. From Rfam's summary of the family: Ribonuclease P (RNase P) is a ubiquitous endoribonuclease, found in archaea, bacteria and eukarya as well as chloroplasts and mitochondria. Its best characterised activity is the generation of mature 5'-ends of tRNAs by cleaving the 5'-leader elements of precursor-tRNAs. The record is from RNAcentral. Lineage: Bacteria; Bacillati; Bacillota; Clostridia; Eubacteriales; Oscillospiraceae.
CGAGUGGAACAUACGGCGGCGGGGCGGCUUUGACCGCCCUGAGGAAAGUCCGGGCCUCACAGAGCACGGUAACUGCUAACGGCAGCCGAGGGUGACCUCAGGGAAAGUGCAACAGAAAGGAAACCGCCGCAGCAAUGCGGUAAGGAUGAAAGGGCGAGGUAAGA